AGUGAACGCUGGCGGUAGGCCUAACACAUGCAAGUCGAACGGCAGCCCAGUAAGAGCUUGCUCUUCCGGGUGGCGAGUGGCGGACGGGUGAGGAAUACAUCGGAAUCUACUUUUUCGUGGGGGAUAACGUAGGGAAACUUACGCUAAUACCGCAUACGACCUACGGGUGAAAGCAGGGGAUCUUCGGACCUUGCGCGAGUGAAUGAGCCGAUGUCGGAUUAGCUAGGUGGCGGGGUAAUGGCCGACCAAGGCGACGAUCCGUAGCUGGUCUGAGAGGGUGAUCUGCCACACUGGAACUGAGACACGGUCCAGACUCCUACGGGAGGCAGCCGUGGGGAAUAUUGGACAAUGGGCUCAAGCCUGAUCCAGCCAUACCGCGUGGGUGAAGAAGGCCUUCUGGUUGUAAAGCCCUUUUGUUGGGAAAGAAAAGCAGCAUGUUAAUACCCCGCUGUUCUGACGGUACCCAAAGAAUAAGCACCGGCUAACUUCGUG
Molecule: ribosomal RNA, 492 nt
Filed under: uncultured bacterium
Lineage: Bacteria
Description: partial 16S ribosomal RNA
Rfam family: Bacterial small subunit ribosomal RNA
Source: RNAcentral